Molecule: long non-coding RNA, 1451 nt
Filed under: Homo sapiens (human)
Lineage: Eukaryota; Metazoa; Chordata; Mammalia; Primates; Hominidae
Description: non-protein coding WDFY3-AS2:20
Source: RNAcentral
CCUUACUUCCUUCCCUUCCCUCGGCUUCCCGCUCUUGCCUCACUCUCAGCGGCUGCCUUCGCCCCUGUCUGCAGACAGCGCCGCUGGAUGCUCCCAGCUGGACUUCAACCCCACUCCUCUCAGUCCCUCUCCCCACUGCCUUCCAGACGCGCCUCUUCCCCGCCCCGCGCCCCUCUCUCCUCUCCCACCCCUGCCCCUCUCCGCGGCGCUCACCCUCCUCAGUCCCAGUUUCUGAAAGGACUCAGCUGAGAAAGGACAACUGGGUUCCGCUUUCCUUAACCCUACACCCUUUAGCUGGAUGCUGUCAGAGGCGAUGGAGAAACGCAAAGGCUACUAGACGCAACAAUAGAAUUACCAUAUUGUUUUUCCUGGUUUGAAAGGACCAGAUGGAAAGAAACUGGGCAAGCCAAUGAAAGUCUCUGGGGAUCAUGGGAAUUGAGUGUCUAUGAAAACCAUAUUCCAGACAAGAAUAUAGUCUAAGGGUCUUGCUUUGUCAUCCAGGCUGGAAUGCUGUGGCACAAACAUGACUCACUGCAGACUCAUCAACCUCCCCAGCUCAAGUGAUCCUCCCACCUCAGCCCCACAAGUAGCUGGGACUACAUGCACAUGCCAUCAUGCCCAUCUAGUCUUUGUAUUUUUUGUAGAGACAGGGUUUUGUCAUGUUGUCCAGGCUGAUCUUGAACUCCUGAGCUCAAGUGGUCCAUAUACCUUGGCUUCCCAAAGUGCUGGGAUUAUAGGCCAUUGCUCCCGGCCUCAUGAUAAAACUUUAAGUAAUUGCUUCUUAUGGAUGAGCAAAGAAAUUGGAAUCUUGAUGCAGAAUGUACUUCUGGUGAAGAUGCCAUGAAUGUUGUUGAAAUGACAACAGAAGGUCUAGAAUAGUCCAUAAACUUAGCUGAGAAAGCAGCAGCAGGAGUUGAGAGGAUUGACUUCAGUUUUGAAAGAAGUUUUACUGUGGAUAAAAUGCUAUCAAAUAACCUCACAUGCUUCAGAUAAAUCUUUUGUGAAAGAAAGAUUCAAUAGAUGCAUAAACUUCAUUUUUUUUAAUUUUAAGAAAUUGCUUUAGCCACCCCAACCUUCAGCAAUCACUACCCUGAUCAAUCAGCAGCCAUCAACAUCAAGGCUAAACCCUCCAUUGGCAAAAAGAUUAUGAUCGCUGAAGGCUCAGAUGAUUAUUAGAGUUUUUAAUUUAAUUUUUUAUUAGCAAUAAAAUAUUUUUAAAUUUAAGGAAUGUACAUUUUUUUAAAGACAUAGUGCUAUUUCAUACUUAGUACUCUACAGUAAUGUAAACACAACUUUUCAAUGUACUGGAAAACAAAACAAACAAAGUCUCAUUUUAUUGUGAUAUUUGCUUUAUUGUGGUGGUCUUGAAAAAAACCCAUAAUAUUUUUGCGAUAUUAUGCCUAUAUGAAUAGAAUUAAAAGCAAAAUAUAUAUACUUAAUGUAUUAUAAAA